UACGUAGGGUCCGAGCGUUGUCCGGAAUUAUUGGGCGUAAAGGGCUCGUAGGCGGUUUGUCGCGUCGGGAGUGAAAACACGGGGCUUAACCCCGUGCCUGCUUCCGAUACGGGCAGACUAGAGGUAUGCAGGGGAGAACGGAAUUCCUGGUGUAGCGGCGAAAUGCGCAGAUAUCAGGAGGAACGCCGGUGGCGAAGGCGGAUCUCUGGGCCUUACCUGACGCUCAGGUGCGAAAGCUAGGGGAGCGAACAGG
Molecule: ribosomal RNA, 253 nt
Filed under: uncultured bacterium
Lineage: Bacteria
Description: partial 16S ribosomal RNA
Rfam family: Bacterial small subunit ribosomal RNA
Source: RNAcentral